GUGCGUGCCUGCCCAACUCCCAUGCCUUCUCCCAGGGGUGCCGCUUACUAGUCCCAGCUUAAGAACAAGGAUCGGAGUGGCCAGAUAACGCAGAGCAUCUCCUCAUUCUAGAAGGGCCACAGACCAGCCCUGGCUUUGAGGGGAGGAAGAAGCCCUUUAGUACGGCAGAUGGAAACGCAUUUAUCGGAGACAUAAAGGACAAGGUGACUGCAUGGAAGCAGUACCGGAAAGCAGCUAUCUCAGGAGAGAAUGCCGGCCUUGUCAGGGCCUCGGGGAGAACUAUGGAGCAAUUCACCAUCCACCUCACCGUCAAUCCCAAGAGCAAGGUCACGUUUCAGCUGACUUAUGAGGAAGUGCUGAAGAGAAACCAUAUGCAGUAUGAAAUUGUCAUCAAAGUCAAGCCCAAGCAGCUGGUGCAUCAUUUUGAGAUCGAUGUGGACAUCUUCGAGCCCCAGGGGAUCAGCAAGCUGGAUGCCCAGGCCUCUUUCCUGCCGAAGGAACUGGCAGCCCAAACUAUCAAGAAGUCCUUCUCAGGAAAAAAGGGUCACGUGCUGUUCCGUCCCACUGUGAGCCAGCAGCAGUCCUGCCCCACAUGCUCUACAUCCUUACUGAACGGGCACUUCAAGGUGACCUACGAUGUCAGUCGAGACAAGAUCUGCGACCUCCUGGUGGCCAAUAACCACUUUGCCCACUUCUUCGCCCCCCAAAACCUGACAAACAUGAACAAGAAUGUGGUUUUUGUGAUUGACAUCAGUGGCUCCAUGAGAGGCCAGAAAGUGAAGCAGACCAAGGAGGCACUCCUUAAAAUUCUGGGGGACAUGCAGCCAGGGGACUACUUUGACCUGGUUCUUUUUGGGACUCGAGUACAAUCGUGGAAGGGCUCGCUGGUGCAAGCAUCUGAGGCCAACCUACAAGCAGCUCAAGACUUUGUGCGGGGCUUUUCCCUGGAUGAGGCCACAAACCUGAAUGGAGGUUUGCUCCGGGGAAUUGAGAUCUUGAACCAAGUUCAGGAAAGCCUCCCAGAACUCAGCAACCAUGCCUCAAUUCUCAUCAUGUUGACAGAUGGCGAUCCCACAGAGGGGGUGACGGACCGUUCCCAAAUCCUCAAGAACGUCCGCAACGCCAUCCGGGGCAGGUUCCCGCUCUACAACCUGGGUUUCGGCCACAAUGUGGACUUUAACUUUCUGGAGGUCAUGUCCAUGGAGAACAAUGGACGGGCCCAGAGAAUCUACGAGGACCGUGAUGCCACCCAGCAGCUGCAGGGUUUCUACAGCCAGGUAGCCAAACCCCUGCUGGUGGAUGUGGAUUUGCAGUACCCCCAGGAUGCUGUCUUGGCCCUGACCCAGAACCACCAUAAACAGUACUACGAAGGCUCAGAGAUUGUGGUGGCCGGGCGCAUUGCUGACAACAAACAGAGCAGCUUCAAGGCUGAUGUGCAGGCCCAUGGGGAGGGACAAGAAUUCAGUAUAACCUGCCUAGUGGAUGAGGAGGAGAUGAAGAAACUGCUCCGAGAGCGUGGCCACAUGCUGGAGAACCACGUCGAGCGCCUCUGGGCCUACCUCACCAUCCAGGAGCUGCUGGCCAAGCGGAUGAAGGUGGACAGGGAGGAGAGGGCCAACCUGUCAUCCCAGGCCCUGCGGAUGUCGCUGGACUAUGGAUUUGUGACCCCACUGACCUCCAUGAGCAUCAGGGGCAUGGCGGACCAGGACGGCCUGAAGCCCACCAUCGACAAGCCCUCAGAGGAUUCUCCGCCUUUGGAGAUGCUGGGACCCAGAAGGACGUUCGUGCUGUCAGCCUUGCAGCCUUCUCCUACUCAUUCCAGCUCCAAUACCCAGCGGCUGCCAGACCGAGUGACCGGCGUGGACACAGACCCUCACUUCAUCAUCCACGUGCCCCAGAAAGAGGACACCCUGUGCUUCAACAUCAAUGAGGAGCCUGGUGUUAUCCUGAGCCUGGUACAGGACCCCAACACAGGCUUCUCAGUGAAUGGACAGCUCAUUGGCAACAAGGCCAGGAGCCCUGGGCAGCAUGACGGCACGUACUUCGGGCGGCUGGGAAUCGCAAACCCUGCCACGGACUUUCAGUUGGAAGUGACUCCUCAGAACAUUACGCUGAACCCCGGCUUUGGUGGGCCUGUGUUUUCCUGGAGGGACCAAGCUGUGCUGCGGCAGGACGGGGUGGUGGUGACCAUCAACAAGAAGAGGAACCUGGUGGUGUCUGUGGACGACGGUGGCACCUUUGAGGUUGUUUUGCACCGAGUGUGGAAGGGGAGCUCGGUCCACCAGGACUUCCUGGGCUUCUAUGUGCUGGACAGUCAUCGGAUGUCAGCCCGGACGCACGGGCUGCUGGGGCAAUUUUUCCACCCCAUCGGUUUUGAAGUGUCUGACAUCCGCCCAGGCUCCGACCCAACAAAGCCAGAUGCCACGAUGGUGGUGAGGAACCGCCGGCUCACGGUCACCAGGGGUUUGCAAAAAGACUACAGCAAGGACCCGCGGCAUGGGGCCGAGGUGUCCUGCUGGUUCAUUCACAACAAUGGGGCUGGACUCAUCGAUGGUGCCUACACUGAUUAUAUCGUCCCCGACAUCUUCUGAGCCCUCUGGCCAGCACGCCUGUCCUCCCCCGGGGCCAAGGCAGAGGAGGAGGACGACAUCCUGACCUGCUGCUGAGGCUGCACCUCCUUGACUAAGCUGG
RNAcentral lists this small RNA (2691 nucleotides) under Pan troglodytes (chimpanzee). Its description in RNAcentral is "processed transcript". Lineage: Eukaryota; Metazoa; Chordata; Mammalia; Primates; Hominidae. The record is from RNAcentral.